UGUAAGCGUAUACCAAAGUUGUUGCAGUUAAAACGCUCGUAGUCGGAAUUUGGCAGUUCCGGAUGUGUGCAGGUCGUGUGCGCACUUCGCGGGGAUUGCUUUUGUGGUCUUGCGUAGGAUGAGGCACUUUUAUUAGUGAACGUCCUCACGCAACCACUUUUUACUGUGAGAAAAUCAGAGUGCUCAAAGCAGGCAUUUGCCGUGAAUGUAUUAGCAUGGAAUAAUAGAAUAGGACUUGGUUCUAUUUUGUUGGUUUGUUGGGACUGAGUAAUGAUUAAGAGGGACAGUUGGGGGCAUUUGUAUUUCGGUGCUAGAGGUGAAAUUCUUAGAUUACCGAAAGACAAACUGCUGCGAAAGCGUCUGCCAAGGAUGUUUUCAUUGA
This 382-nucleotide ribosomal RNA is filed under the name uncultured eukaryote. RNAcentral describes it as "partial 18S ribosomal RNA". It matches the Rfam family "Eukaryotic small subunit ribosomal RNA", at positions 592 to 976 of the family's 1831-position model. The record is from RNAcentral.